Molecule: ribosomal RNA, 730 nt
Filed under: uncultured bacterium
Lineage: Bacteria
Description: bacterial SSU rRNA
Rfam family: Bacterial small subunit ribosomal RNA
Source: RNAcentral
AACAGGAUUAGAUACCCUGGUAGUCCACGCUGUAAACGAUGUCGACUUGGAGGUUGUUCCCUUGAGGAGUGGCUUCCGGAGCUAACGCGUUAAGUCGACCGCCUGGGGAGUACGGCCGCAAGGUUAAAACUCAAAUGAAUUGACGGGGGGCCGCACAAGCGGUGGAGCAUGUGGUUUAAUUCGAUGCAACGCGAAGAACCUUACCUACUCUUGACAUCCAGAGAACUUAGCAGAGAUGCUUUGGUGCCUUCGGGAACUCUGAGACAGGUGCUGCAUGGCUGUCGUCAGCUCGUGUUGUGAAAUGUUGGGUUAAGUCCCGCAACGAGCGCAACCCUUAUCCUUUGUUGCCAGCGAUUCGGUCGGGAACUCAAAGGAGACUGCCAGUGAUAAACUGGAGGAAGGUGGGGAUGACGUCAAGUCAUCAUGGCCCUUACGAGUAGGGCUACACACGUGCUACAAUGGCAUAUACAAAGAGAAGCGACCUCGCGAGAGCGAGCGGACCUCAUAAAGUAUGUCGUAGUCCGGAUUGGAGUCUGCAACUCGACUCCAUGAAGUCGGAAUCGCUAGUAAUCGUGGAUCAGAAUGCCACGGUGAAUACGUUCCCGGGCCUUGUACACACCGCCCGUCACACCAUGGGAGUGGGUUGCAAAAGAAGUAGGUAGCUUAACCUUCGGGAGGGCGCUUACCACUUUGUGAUUCAUGACUGGGGUGAAGUCGUAACAAGGUAACC